This 29-nucleotide small RNA is filed under the name Bombyx mori (domestic silkworm). RNAcentral's name for it is "piRNA piR-bmo-1613324". The record is from RNAcentral. Lineage: Eukaryota; Metazoa; Arthropoda; Insecta; Lepidoptera; Bombycidae.
UGUCUGUAGAUUAUUCUUAGCGUAUCAGC